UACGGAGGAUGCGAGCGUUAUCCGGAUUUAUUGGGUUUAAAGGGUGCGUAGGCGGACUGUCAGGUCAGCGGUAAAAUUGAGAGGCUCAACCUCUUCCCGCCGUUGAAACUGGUGGUCUUGAGUGGAUGAGAAGUACGCGGAAUGCGUGGUGUAGCGGUGAAAUGCAUAGAUAUCACGCAGAACUCCGAUUGCGAAGGCAGCGUACCGGCAUCCAACUGACGCUGAGGCACGAAAGCGUGGGGAUCAAACAGG
RNAcentral lists this ribosomal RNA (252 nucleotides) under uncultured bacterium. RNAcentral's name for it is "partial 16S ribosomal RNA". It matches the Rfam family "Bacterial small subunit ribosomal RNA", at positions 524 to 776 of the family's 1533-position model. The record is from RNAcentral.